This 460-nucleotide ribosomal RNA is filed under the name uncultured bacterium. Its description in RNAcentral is "partial 16S ribosomal RNA". It matches the Rfam family "Bacterial small subunit ribosomal RNA", at positions 338 to 795 of the family's 1533-position model. The record is from RNAcentral.
CCUACGGGAGGCAGCAGUGAGGAAUAUUGGUCAAUGGACGAGAGUCUGAACCAGCCAAGUAGCGUGAAGGAUGCCUGCCCUAUGGGUUGUAAACUUCUUUUAUAUGGGAAUAAAACAGGGUAUGCAUACCCUCUUGUAUGUACCAUAUGAAUAAGGCUCGGCUAACUACGGGCCAGCAGCCGCGGUAAUAAGGUGGAUCCGGGCGUUUCCCGGAAUUAAUGGGUUUAAAGGGAUCGUAGGUGGUUGGUUAAGUCAGUUGUGAAAGUUUGCGGCUCAACCGGAAAAUUGCAGUUGAAACUGGCAGUCUUGAGUACAGUAGAGGUGGGCGGAAUUCGUGGUGUAGCGGUGAAAUGCUUAGAUAUCACGAAGAACUCCGAUUGCGAAGGCAGCUCACUGGACUGCAACUGACACUGAUGCUCGAAAGUGUGGGUAUCAAACAGGAUUAGAUACCCUGGUAGUC